This 302-nucleotide ribosomal RNA is filed under the name Alviniconcha boucheti. Its description in RNAcentral is "partial 12S ribosomal RNA". Lineage: Eukaryota; Metazoa; Mollusca; Gastropoda; Provannidae. The record is from RNAcentral.
UGGCGGUGCUUUAGACUCUUCAGGGGAACCUGUCUCGUAAUCGAUAGUCCACGAUAUACCUAACCUUUUUUAGACAUCAGUAUGUAUACCGUCGUCGUCAGGUAACUUUUAAAAAUAAAGAAGUUAGCAACAAAAAUUAGAAUAAUUUUGUACGUCAGAUCAAGGUGCAGCUCAUAAAAAGGUGAGGAUGGGUUACAAUUAAGAAUUAUAAUAACGGAAAGAGGUUUGGCAUAACCUCUAUGAAGGAGGACUUGAAAGUAAAACUAUUAUAUAUAAAUUUUUUGAAUUUAGCUCUGAAGCGU